Pelobates cultripes (western spadefoot toad) is the source of this 201-nucleotide non-coding RNA. The record is from the annotation of a GenBank genome assembly. NCBI's taxonomy places the organism in Eukaryota, Metazoa, Chordata, Amphibia, Anura, Pelobatidae.
GGGCUGUCGCAAAUCAAGCGCCUCACUGGCAUGUUGUUUCGCCACUGGAUAUCGGCAAAGUGAGCCAUGGCCGUGUAGGAACGCCUGAAAUGGCCACACACCUUCCUGGCCUGCUUCAGGACGUCCUGUAAGCCUAUGUACUUAUGCACAAAGCGUUGUACGAUCAGAUUACACACAUGUGCCAUGCACGGCACAUGUGAC